CAUGGCUCAGGACGAACGCUGGCGGCGUGCCUAAUACAUGCAAGUCGAGCGAAGUUUUUCUGGUGCUUGCACUAGAAAAACUUAGCGGCGAACGGGUGAGUAACACGUAAAGAACCUGCCUCAUAGACUGGGACAACUAUUGGAAACGAUAGCUAAUACCGGAUAACAGUAUUUCUCGCAUGAGAGAUAUUUAAAAGUUGGUUAUGCUAACACUAUGAGAUGGCUUUGCGGUGCAUUAGCUAGUUGGUGGGGUAAAGGCCCACCAAGGCGACGAUGCAUAGCCGACCUGAGAGGGUGAUCGGCCACACUGGGACUGAGACACGGCCCAGACUCCUACGG
RNAcentral lists this ribosomal RNA (339 nucleotides) under uncultured bacterium. RNAcentral's name for it is "bacterial SSU rRNA". It matches the Rfam family "Bacterial small subunit ribosomal RNA", at positions 18 to 344 of the family's 1533-position model. The record is from RNAcentral.